RNAcentral lists this long non-coding RNA (1149 nucleotides) under Canis lupus familiaris (dog). Its description in RNAcentral is "lncRNA (ENSCAFG00030000502.1)". Lineage: Eukaryota; Metazoa; Chordata; Mammalia; Carnivora; Canidae. The record is from RNAcentral.
AUGAUUCAGUUACUUGCAGGCAGAAUACGUCCUAAGGGAGACACCACCUCAGUGAGGCUGCGUGGGCUCGGGAUGGGAGGAGCCUGGUCAGGAAGCGGCUUCCCCAAACCCAACUUCAUCUUCCCCUGUGCUCCCCUGUCCUCCCCCAUCCUCUCUUGUGCUCCCCCAUCCUCCCCUCUGCUCCUCUGUGCUCCUCUGUACUCCUGUCUUCUCCGUCCUCCCUCGUGCUCCUCAGUCCUUCCGUCCUCCCCUCUGCUCCUUUGUACUCCCCUCUCCUCCCGUGCUCCCUAUCCUUCUCCGUCCUCCCCUGUCCUCCCCAUCCUGCUCCAUCCUCCCCUGCACUCCCCUGUGCUCUUCUGUACUCCCCUGUGCUCCCCCAUCCUCCCCUUUGCUCCUCUGUGCUCCUCUGUGCUCCUCUGUACUCCUGUCUUCUCCGUCCUCCCUCGUGCUCCCCCGUCCUCCCCUGUCCUCCCCUCUGCUCCUCUGUACUCCCCUCUCCUCCCGUGCUCCCUAUCCUUCUCCAUCCUCCCCUGUCCUCCCCAUCCUGCUCCAUCCUCCCCUGCACUCCCCUGUGCUCUUCUGUACUCCCCUGUGCUCCCCCAUCCUCCCCUCUGCUCCUCUGUGCUCCCCUCUCCUCCCCUGUGCUUUCCUAUCCUCCCCCGUCCUCCCCAUCCUCCUUUGUCCUCCCCUGCACUCCCCUCUGCUCCCUGUUCUCCUCUGUGCUCCCCCAUCCUCCCUUGUGCUCCCCUCUCCUCCCCUGCCCUCCCCAUCCUCUCCUGUCCUCCCCUCUGCUCCCCUGUACCCCCCAUGCUCCCCCAUCCUCCCGCAUCCUCCCCCUGCGCCCCGUCCUCCCCUGUCCUCCCCUGCACAGCCCUCAGCCACACUGUAGUCGAGCAGGUCUCCUUCUCUCUCUGGGCCGCCCCUCACCCCACCCCCCAUGCCGCCCACAGUUGGGGAGCCGGGCCUACAGACGCUGAGGACAGCCCUGCAGGGAAUGCAGCGCCCCGUCUCACCCACUGCCCUCCAACCCUCAGCCAGACGGCGCAGGACCCCUUGGGGGUAGGCACAGGCCUGUCUACACCGGGGCUCAGGAACAGGAGAGGGGGGCGCCGAGCAUGUUCACAGGCUGCAGGUGUGAGACACAGGUGA